Molecule: unclassified non-coding RNA, 161 nt
Filed under: uncultured Ascomycota
Lineage: Eukaryota; Fungi; Ascomycota
Description: sequence contains ITS1
Source: RNAcentral
CAGAAGGUUUACAAUACCUACAAACCACUGCGAACCGUUCCUUUAGCUGCCUCGGCGGGCAAUCCCAGGGCGGGAUUCAGGGCUCCUUCGGGGCGCCCGCCGGCGGUGCAAACUCUAGUUCUGUCUCUCAGCGGGCCUCUGAGUGAUUUGGAAAACCAUCA